CCUCUUUAAGAGUCAAAAGGCGGCCUCAGAUCUUCAUGCUAAUGAAACCUCACAGUUUGUUCUAUCUGGGCCUCAUCUGCACAGCAACCAGAAGCUUCCAUGGCCCAGCAGUUUCAACCAAAUAGUUCAGGAGCCAGUAUUCACCCGUUGCAAUGUGAACGAGGGAAUCCAGGCCCUGCUCAGCAAGGACACCGUGGCUCUGCAAUGAUCUGUAGGAUUUGUGCUGCAGAAUAAUUCUUGCUGGAUUCAAGAAAUAACAGGCUGGUUCUUGUCACCAUCUUCAUAGGAUACAGAAAGGGGUGAGAAAUCCUGCCUCAGACCCCACACCGCUGUUCUAGCUGAAGUCUCCAACUUCUCUUUAAACAUCAGGAAGCCUUUCGUACACACUUUUGUGACAAACUGAAAAUUAGUUGUUGAUUGUUAAUAUUUAUUCUCUGUUUUCACAUUAGAUUAAAAUACAGAACAUACUCUUUCAUCCCACCCCCCAAAAUACCUGGUUACUUGAUUCUCAGUUAUUUGAAGUCCAGAUAAUAACUGACUCUAGUCUAUUUAUGUAACUAUUGUUAUCAUCUAAGUAUUAAAUAUUCUUAGCUUACAGAGUGUCUUUAAAUCUGUUUCAUC
RNAcentral lists this long non-coding RNA (621 nucleotides) under Rhinolophus ferrumequinum (greater horseshoe bat). RNAcentral describes it as "lncRNA (ENSRFEG00010008727.1)". The record is from RNAcentral. Lineage: Eukaryota; Metazoa; Chordata; Mammalia; Chiroptera; Rhinolophidae.